Molecule: ribosomal RNA, 270 nt
Filed under: uncultured bacterium
Lineage: Bacteria
Description: partial 16S ribosomal RNA
Rfam family: Bacterial small subunit ribosomal RNA
Source: RNAcentral
AAUCAACGCUGGCGGCGCGCUUAACACAUGCAAGUCGAACGAGAAAGGGGAGCAAUCCCUGAGUACAGUGGCGUACGGGUGAGUAACACGUGGAUGAUCUACCUUCUGGUGUGGAAUAACCAUGGGAAACCGUGGCUAAUACCGCAUAAGCUCGAGAGAGGAAAGCAGCAAUGCGCCGGAAGAGGAGUCCGCGGCCGAUUAGCUAGUUGGCAGGGUAAAAGCCUACCAAGGCGAAGAUCGGUAGCCGGCCUGAGAGGGCACACGGCCACA